Molecule: ribosomal RNA, 301 nt
Filed under: uncultured bacterium
Lineage: Bacteria
Description: partial 16S ribosomal RNA
Rfam family: Bacterial small subunit ribosomal RNA
Source: RNAcentral
CAGCAGCCGCGGUAAUACGAAGGGUGCAAGCGUUAAUCGGAAUUACUGGGCGUAAAGCGUGCGUAGGCGGUUUGUUAAGUCUGUUGUGAAAUCCCCGGGCUCAACCUGGGAAUGGCAAUGGAUACUGGCAAGCUAGAGUGUGUCAGAGGAUGGUGGAAUUCCCGAUGUAGCGGUGAAAUGCGUAGAGAUUGGGAGGAACAUCAGUGGCGAAGGCGGCCAUCUGGGACAACACUGACGCUGAGGCACGAAAGCGUGGGGAGCAAACAGGAUUAGAUACCCCGGUAGUCCCUGUCUCUUAUAA